This 468-nucleotide ribosomal RNA is filed under the name uncultured bacterium. RNAcentral's name for it is "partial 16S ribosomal RNA". It matches the Rfam family "Bacterial small subunit ribosomal RNA", at positions 28 to 507 of the family's 1533-position model. The record is from RNAcentral.
GACGAACGCUGGCGGCGUGCUUAACACAUGCGAGUCGAACGGAAAGGCCCUGCUUUUGUGGGGUGCUCGAGUGGCGAACGGGUGAGUAACACGUGAGUAACCUGCCCUUGACUUUGGGAUAACUCCAGGAAACUGGGGCUAAUACCGGAUAGGAGCUCCUGCUGCAUGGUGGGGGUUGGAAAGUUUCGGCGGUUGGGGAUGGACUCGCGGCUUAUCAGCUUGUUGGUGGGGUAGUGGCUUACCAAGGCUUUGACGGGUAGCCGGCCUGAGAGGGUGACCGGCCACAUUGGGACUGAGAUACGGCCCAGACUCCUACGGGAGGCAGCAGUGGGGAAUAUUGCACAAUGGGCGGAAGCCUGAUGCAGCAACGCCGCGUGCGGGAUGACGGCCUUCGGGUUGUAAACCGCUUUCGCCUGUGACGAAGCGUGAGUGACGGUAAUGGGUAAAGAAGCACCGGCUAACUACGUG